GACGAACGCUGGCGGCGUGCUUAACACAUGCAAGUCGAGCGGAAAGGCCCUGCUUUUGUGGGGUGCUCGAGUGGCGAACGGGUGAGUAACACGUGAGUAACCUGCCCCUGACUUUGGGAUAACUCCAGGAAACUGGGGCUAAUACCGGAGAGGAGCUCCUGCUGCAUGGUGGUGGUUGGAAAGUUUCGGCGGUUGGGGAUGGACUCGCGGCUUAUCAGCUUGCUUGGGGGGUAGUGGUGUACCAAGGCUUCGACGGGUAGCCCGCCUGAGCGGGUGGCCGGCCACCAUGCGCCUGCGGUACGGCCCAGACUCGUACCGGACGCAGCAGUGGGAAAUAUUGCAGAAUGGGCGGACGCCUGAUGCGGCAGCCCCGGGUGCGUGAUGACGUCCUUCGGGUUGUGAACCGCUUUGGCCUGUGCCGAAGCGUGAUUGACGGUACUGGGUAAAGAAGCCCCGGCUAACUACGUG
This 468-nucleotide ribosomal RNA is filed under the name uncultured bacterium. Its description in RNAcentral is "partial 16S ribosomal RNA". It matches the Rfam family "Bacterial small subunit ribosomal RNA", at positions 28 to 507 of the family's 1533-position model. The record is from RNAcentral.